UUACAUUGCUAGUUUAUAGAAAUACAAUUAAUUUUCAUACAUUUAUUUUGUAUCUUAUGACAGUUGAACUCACUUGUUAGUUCUUAAGAACACUAUUGUAUGUUUUCGGGGUUACUACAUAGGCAAUAUUGGCAUCUGCAAAUUUGGAAAGGUUUACAUUCCUUCUUUUCCAAAUAGAACACAUUUAAUUUUAUUUUCAUGUCUUAAUUCACUGAAUAGGUAUACCAGUAUUAUGUGGUUAAAAGCUUUGAAUAGGCCUCCUAUUUUUCAAAUGUCUUGUUCAUUGUUUAGGUCAUGAAUAAUUGAUCCAGAGCAUAUAAAUAAUUUGGCUUUGAAGAAUACAUGGAUGCAGAUAUGGUAUGGACCUGAAAUGUUCCCCACAAAAUAAUGUAUUGCAGAUUGGGUCCCCAAUGCAGCGAUGUCCCAAGGUGUUUCUGAGGUGGGAAUAUGGAGAAGAAAUUGCAUCAUGAAGAGACUUCAUUACUGGAAUCAUCUAUUUCACGAAUUAAUAGUUCAAAUGGACUAAAGGAAAGUGGUGGAAACUGUAGGAAGAAGGACACUUUAAAUUGCUUUCUUUCUAGAUCAAAUAUGUAGUUAUUGUUGAAAUCCUCUCAAUUGUAUCAAGAUUGUUUGUCUCUUUAUUUACAUUUGAUUUUAGUCCUAAUAAAUCUUGUAUUUUGCACAUGCGCACAUGACAAACACACAUUUAAACUCAUCAAUCAUUAUUAAGGAACUCCAGUGCUUAAUUUUUCUUAUUCUUUGGACUGACACAUAUGAAAAUUGUAACUAACUCAAAAUGUGAAAUUUUUUUCAUAUUAGUCACCAACAUACCUGUUGGUGACUACUAAGUGCUAACUUCACAAAUUCAUUGUGAUCAAGAAAUUAAAAUAUUAUUAAUAUAUUCAAAGAUUUUAUUAAUGCAUUAUUAGUUCUAUUAUUGUUAUUAGUUAUUUUAUCAGCAUUACAUGGUGAGGACACUAGAAAUACCAGUUAAUAUCACUACAGCAAGCUGCAUUUAUCUUACCAGCAAUAUAAAUUCUGGGAUGAAUAGAACUGGCUAGAGCUGAAAUCAUUGUUUGCAUAGUUUUCAAAUAUGUACUCCUCUGUCAAAAUGCCUUGUUGUUUAGCUGUUGGUUUCCCCCUUUGGAUUUGGCAUAGGGAAGAUUUUGAUGAAUGUUACAGAGCAUACCUUAGCAAAUAAGUUGGAAAUAAAACAAUGAAUUUGAGUGGCGCUAGGGACAAAGUAGAAAAUAUUUCUGAGAUAACGAAUGGCAGUUUGAUCUUGAGAAGCUAAGAAACAGGCUUUAAAUAAUAAGAAGGUCCUGGGUCUUUACAUCAGGGACACAGCAUCAACAAAAGAAGUUUCUUUCUUGCUUCCUUUCAUAUUUUUUGUUUUGCAUAGACAUAAAAGGAUAUCUUUUCACCUUAAACUUCUAGGAUUAUAUAACUAAAAUCAUAUUUCUUUAAAAUUAGAUUUUCUGGGGGCUGGAGAUAUAGGUCAAUGGUAAAGCAUUUGACUAGCAUGCAUGAGAUCUUGCAUUCAAUCCCCAGUACCAACAAAAUUUUUAAAAUAUACUUGAUUUAUCUAAAAGAUUAAAAAAUAAAAUUAGGUUUCUGAAACUUGUUAUUUUUAAAAAUUCAUAACAUUGCUAUUAAUAAAUUUAAGAUUUGAAAACUGUCUUUUAUACUUGUGUCCACCCCCCUCCUGGGAUACCUUUUUCAGGUAGCUAGAUUACAUUAAAUUAAAUAACAUUAAGUUCUCAUAAUUUCAUGAACUAUUAGAAUUCUCCUCAUCGUUUAUCAUUGCGUAAUUAUUCAUUUUUGAAAUUAGAUAAAAAAUAAGGUUUAGCCGGCACAAUUGAAUCACCCUUUCUUUUUCUUAAAGAUUCUCUUUAACACAUUUUAUUUAUAAGUUUCCUAAAUAAGAUUUAAUGUUCAUUUAUGCUUUGCCCCAUAGCUUUAAUGCAAGCUGCUGCUAAAUGAAAAAAAAGAAUGCUUUUUAUCAAAAUCCAUAUUGAACAACACCUAAAUAAAU
This 2035-nucleotide long non-coding RNA is filed under the name Marmota monax (woodchuck). The record is from RNAcentral. Lineage: Eukaryota; Metazoa; Chordata; Mammalia; Rodentia; Sciuridae.